GACGAACGCUGGCGGCGUGCUUAACACAUGCAAGUCGAACGAAGAGCGAUGGAAGCUUGCUUCUAUCAAUCUUAGUGGCGAACGGGUGAGUAACGCGUAAUCAACCUGCCCUUCAGAGGGGGACAACAGUUGGAAACGACUGCUAAUACCGCAUACGAUCUAAUCUCGGCAUCGAGGAUAGAUGAAAGGUGGCCUCUACAUGUAAGCUAUCACUGAAGGAGGGGAUUGCGUCUGAUUAGCUAGUUGGAGGGGUAACGGCCCACCAAGGCGAUGAUCAGUAGCCGGUCUGAGAGGAUGAACCGCCACAUUGGGACUGAGACACGGCCCAGACUCCUACGGGAGGCAGCAGUGGGGAAUCUUCCACAAUGGACGAAAGUCUGACGGAGCAACGCCGCGUGAGCGAUGACGGCCUUCGGGUUGUAAAGCUCUGUUAAUCGGGACGAAAGGCCUUCUUGCGAAUAGUGAGAAGGAUUGACGGUACCGGAAUAGAAAGCCACGGCUAACUACGUG
Molecule: ribosomal RNA, 510 nt
Filed under: uncultured bacterium
Lineage: Bacteria
Description: partial 16S ribosomal RNA
Rfam family: Bacterial small subunit ribosomal RNA
Source: RNAcentral